GAUGAACGCUGGCGGCGUGCCUAAUACAUGCAAGUCGAGCGAACAGAUGAGGAGCUUGCUCCUCUGACGUUAGCGGCGGACGGGUGAGUAACACGUGGAUAACCUACCUAUAAGACUGGGAUAACUUCGGGAAACCGGCGCUAAUACCGGAUAAUAUAUUGAACCGCAUGGUUCAAUAGUGAAAGACGGUUUUGCUGUCACUUAUAGAUGGAUCCGCGCCGCAUUAGCUAGUUGGUAAGGUAACGGCUUACCAAGGCAACGAUGCGUAGCCGACCUGAGAGGGGGAUCGGCCACACUGGAGCUGAGACACGGUCCAGACUCCUACGGGAGGCAGCAGUAGGGAAUCUUCCGCAAUGGGCGAAAGCCUGACGGAGCAAGGCCGCGUGAGUGAUGAAGGUCUUCGGAUCGUAAAACUCUGUUAUUAGGGAAGAACAAAUGUGUAAGUAACUAUGCACGUCUUGACGGUACCUAAUCAGAAAGCCACGGCUAACUACGUG
RNAcentral lists this ribosomal RNA (497 nucleotides) under uncultured bacterium. RNAcentral's name for it is "partial 16S ribosomal RNA". It matches the Rfam family "Bacterial small subunit ribosomal RNA", at positions 28 to 507 of the family's 1533-position model. The record is from RNAcentral.